CAAGAUAGUGAUAUGGAGCAAAACCCUAAAAAGACGGUCUCAGUUCGGAUUGAAGGCUGAAAUUCGCCUUCAUGAAGCUGGAAUUGCUAGUAAUGGCAGGUCAGCAUACUGCCGUGAAUACGUUCCCGGGUCUUGUACACACCGCCCGUCACACCAUGGGAGUCAGCAACGCCCGAAGUCAGUGACCUAACCGAGAGGAAGGAGCUGCCGAAGGCGGGGCAGGUAACUGGGGUGAAGUCGUAACAAGGUAAC
RNAcentral lists this ribosomal RNA (252 nucleotides) under uncultured bacterium. RNAcentral describes it as "partial 16S ribosomal RNA". It matches the Rfam family "Bacterial small subunit ribosomal RNA", at positions 1250 to 1500 of the family's 1533-position model. The record is from RNAcentral.